CUGGGCUUAGAUUCACUUAGGC
This 22-nucleotide microRNA is filed under the name Caenorhabditis briggsae. RNAcentral describes it as "Cbr-Mir-86_3p* (star (passenger))". The record is from RNAcentral. Lineage: Eukaryota; Metazoa; Nematoda; Chromadorea; Rhabditida; Rhabditidae.